This 2159-nucleotide long non-coding RNA is filed under the name Marmota monax (woodchuck). The record is from RNAcentral. Lineage: Eukaryota; Metazoa; Chordata; Mammalia; Rodentia; Sciuridae.
ACCAUUCCUGUCUUCAUACAUGUACUUAGGGCAAUGAUGUCUAACUCAUUCCAAAUUCAUUCCUACCCACUUGCUCCCUACAUUACCCUCCCUCCCCUUUGCCCUAUCUAAAGUUCCUCAAUUCCUUCCAUGCUUCCCCUACCCCCUAUCACCAUUAUGAGUCAGCAAUUGCAUAUAAAAAAAAAAUCAGCCUUUGGGUUUCUGGGAUUGGCUAACUUCACUUAGCAUUAUUUUCUCCAACUCCAUCCAUUUACCUGCAAAUGCCAUGGUUUUAUUCUCUUUUGAUGAUGAGUAAUUGCUUCUUAUUCUCUUCUUCAUUGUUAAAAUUUUGGAAACAUGUCUUCAUUUACUCAAUUUCUAUUUACCUACUGUACCAUUAGUUUUACCUGUCACCCCAAUUUUUCCAUUAAACAAGUUCUCCUUAUGAUUACGACAUUCUUCAUGUUCCCCUUGCUUGACUCAUUAGUUCUGGUGAGACCAUGCCUUUUGUAUUGAAUCAUUUCUUUGUUUGCUGAACACAUUUUUCAGGCUUUCCUCACUCUCUCUGCUAGUUCUAUUUAGCAGUAUCAUGUGGAUGUGUUUCCUUGGCUGGGCGUUUGUAGUCACUAGGAUUUGAUGCUCAGUCAUAGCCUCCUUUCACAUAUUUUAUUCUUUCUCCAUGUUCAUAGAUAUAACUGAUCACAAGGUUAAAAUGUUGUAUUUUCAUUAGAAUUAUCUAGGGCUUCAAAACCCAAUUCAAAUGCAUUAUUUAAUUAUUGAAUUUUUAGAAUUAAAAAAAUUCUAAAAUGCAAGGAGUUCAAUCUUUAUGAAUGUUUUUAUUGUCCAUGCACUUAAAUAAGCUAACAUCUCAGAAGUCAUCUUUGAAAAGCCCUCCUCUUAAAUGUAUAGAUCCAAUACUCAAUUUAGUCACAUUAUUUUUCUCUAAUAUUUGUCUCUAACAUUUGUCCCAGUGUUGGUCACCUCACAUCUAGUAUGGUAGAUUGCUCAAGUACAAUAUAAUAUUUCCUAUAGCUGAAAUGAUAUAUAAUUUAAGGAGAAAAGCAGCCUUUAUACCCAAGUAAAAAUGGCCAUUCUGCUGAAUUGUUGAAAAUGUGUCAACCAAUUAAUAAAUUCAUGUCAAAUUUUUUGAAAUAUUUUAUUGAUUUCCAUUUCUAUCAUUAGCAUAGAAUCAUUAACAGUACAGACUAAAUAAUUUUCACUUAUUUUAUUUUCAGAAAUUUUAAGGUAUACUAAUAACAUUGUUGAAAAAAUGUGGAAGCCAUUAAAUUUUCUUAUCCCUCUAAAUAAAACUAAAAGUUUUGUUUCCAGUUGUUUUUAAAUGUAGUAUAACUAUUACAUUUUUUAAGAAAGUGAUAGUGUUUUUCUUGUUUCAUGAUAGCAAAUGAAACACCAGUCAGUAUUAUUAUAUUCCUAAAUCACAUAAUCCGUAUAUGUAAAGUAAUAAGCCAUUAUGGAGAAGCAAUUAAUCUGAGCUAUUUGCCAUUCAUGUAUUUGUUUUAAAAAAACAGGCAAAAUAAGUACAAAUUGAUUAUAAUUAUGAUAGAGUUGGAAAGGUGUUUUAUGUCUCUCAUUAUGGGAAAUUUUUAGCAUUAGCUGGGAAAGUAUACAUUUAUAAUAAGUUUCUGAUAGCCUCAAUAAAAGUUCAUUGAAAAAAACACGGCUAUUCUAAAAAAGUAAUUUUACAAAAGUUACAAUACACUUGAAAUGAUCUUUAUUUUUACAUUUAACCGACACAUAUAACAUAAAAGUUUUAUAUAUUAAUGAGGUGUCAUGUGAUGUUUCAGUAUAGAUAUACAAUGUGUAAUACUUAAAUUGGAUUAAAGACAUCUAGAUCCUUAAACAUCUAUCACUUUUUUAAAUUGUGAAUACAUUCACAAGCUUUCUUCCAGCUUUUUGAGACACACAGUUCAUAAUUGUUAUCUGUGGUCACCCCACUGUGCAACAGGACCCCAGAGCUUCUCUGAUCUAACUGUACCCGAUGGAUCAAUCUUUCUCCAUCCUUCCUUUCACCUGUUUACCUUGUCAAAUGUUUUCCCAUACAAAUGAAGAUUUUGGAAAGUAUUUUCUCAAUUUUACUGUAAGAACUUUUAUGUUUUUCUUUUUCUUUCUUUCUCGCUUCUUCCCUCCCUCCCCCUUCCCCUUUCUUUCUUUCUUUACCA